Small nuclear RNA from Nannospalax galili (Upper Galilee mountains blind mole rat), 107 nucleotides. NCBI's taxonomy places the organism in Eukaryota, Metazoa, Chordata, Mammalia, Rodentia, Spalacidae. The record is from Ensembl.
GUGCUCACUUUGGCAGCACAUAUUCUAAAAUUAGAACGAUACAGAGAAGAUUAGCAUGGCCCCUGCGCAAAGAUAUCAUGCAAAUUCAUGAUACAUUCCAUUUUAUU